UAGGGAGCAAGCGUUAUCCGGAUUUACUGGGUGUAAAGGGCGAGUAGGCGGGCUGGCAAGUUGGGAGUGAAAUCCCGGGGCUUAACCUCGGAACUGCUUUCAAAACUGCUGGUCUUGAGUGAUGGAGAGGCAGGCGGAAUUCCGUGUGUAGCGGUGAAAUGCGUAGAUAUACGGAGGAACACCAGUGGCGAAGGCGGCCUGCUGGACAUUAACUGACGCUGAGGAGCGAAAGCGUGGGGAGCA
This 243-nucleotide ribosomal RNA is filed under the name uncultured bacterium. Its description in RNAcentral is "partial 16S ribosomal RNA". It matches the Rfam family "Bacterial small subunit ribosomal RNA", at positions 528 to 770 of the family's 1533-position model. The record is from RNAcentral.